This 451-nucleotide ribosomal RNA is filed under the name uncultured bacterium. Its description in RNAcentral is "bacterial SSU rRNA". It matches the Rfam family "Bacterial small subunit ribosomal RNA", at positions 29 to 521 of the family's 1533-position model. The record is from RNAcentral.
AACGAACGCUGGCGGCAGGCCUAACACAUGCAAGUCGAACGCCCUAGCAAUAGGGAGUGGCGCACGGGUGCGUAACGCGUGGGAAUAUGCCCUUCACUGCGGAAUGACGUUUGGAAACGAACGCUAAUACCGCAUAAUGACUCCGGUCCAAAGAUUUAUCGGUGAAGGAUUAGCCCGCGUUAGAUUAGCUAGUUGGUGAGGUAAUGGCUCACCAAGGCGACGAUCUAUAGCUGGUCUGAGAGGAUGAUCAGCCACACUGGGACUGAGACACGGCCCAGACUCCUACGGGAGGCAGCAGUGAGGAAUAUUGGACAAUGAACGCAAGCCUGAUCCAGCCAUGCCGCGUGAGUGAAGAAGGCCUUCGGUUGUAAAGACUCUUUCUAGAUGUGAAGAUAAUAGACGGUAGCAUCAGAAGAAGCCCCGGCGUAAAUUACGUGCCAGCAGCCGCGGU